RNAcentral lists this ribosomal RNA (476 nucleotides) under uncultured bacterium. Its description in RNAcentral is "partial 16S ribosomal RNA". It matches the Rfam family "Bacterial small subunit ribosomal RNA", at positions 28 to 507 of the family's 1533-position model. The record is from RNAcentral.
GACGAACGCUGGCGGCGUGCCUAAUACAUGCAAGUUGAGCGCUGAAGGUUGGUACUUGUACCGACUGGAUGAGCAGCGAACGGGUGAGUAACGCGUGGGGAAUCUGCCUUUGAGCGGGGGACAACAUUUGGAAACGAAUGCUAAUACCGCAUAAAAACUUUAAACACAAGUUUUAAGUUUGAAAGAUGCAAUUGCAUCACUCAAAGAUGAUCCCGCGUUGUAUUAGCUAGUUGGUGAGGUAAAGGCUCACCAAGGCGAUGAUACGUAGCCGACCUGAGAGGGUGACCGGACAGAUGGGGACUGGGAUGCGGCCCCGACUGAUACGGGAGGCAGCAGUGGGGAAUGGUGCACGAUGGGCGGAAGGAGGAUGGAGGAACGCAGCGUGCGGGUAGACGGCCUGCGGGUUGUAAACAGGUUGGGCCUGUGACGAAGGGUGAGUGACGGGAAUGAGUAAAGAAGCACCGGCUAACUACGUG